GAGAGGGGAAGGGAGAGGCGCUGCCGGUGGUGACCACGCCACUGCCGCCGCUGACCUUGAGGGGAAAACGAGAGUGAGAGAGAGACAUGCACAGAACGCGCGACGUGAGCAAGAGAAGGAGCUCAUCUUUGUUGCCGCCGUCACCGCGCCUUGCCGUUGCUGUGGUUGAUGGAAGCCGCCGCUGUCACUGGAAGGAACCAAACAGAGAGUAGAUGACUGUUGAUGUUGCCGCAGAGAGGAAGGAAGGGACAGAAAGUGACGCAACAGAGGAGGAGCCGUUCCUCUGCCGCCGCCGCCUCCGAAAUUCCUGGUCGCCACCGUCAUUCAUGCUUGUAGGAACAUGUGGUUUCAUGAGGCUAGAUAAUAAGUUUCAGGUUCAAGUCUCGUCUUAAUUGUGUCAUGUAACAAGGUGUAUGAUAAUGAAGUAAUGAUCAUGAAGUAAUGAUCAUGUGAAUGUUUGAUUAAUGUGUGGUGACUAUGGUAGAAUGCUAUUCGCAAAGGAUACAGAUGGUAUACCCCUAAUGCCGGAACAUUUGAAUUGUGCAGAGCGAUUUGUCAUAAGUUGAAGGACUUGUUUUCAAAGCAGACAACCUUGGUUGGGAAAAAUUGUCAAUUUCAGUGCCUUCUGCUAUGGCUUUGACAGCUGAUCUUAUUGCUUCACUAGUUGACACAACAUUCAUUGGCCGAAUAGGAAAAUCAUUAUGAGGGUGAGGGAGAACUUCAUCACACAUUGAGAAGAUCAAACACUAGAGAGUAAAAAUUACCAAUUUGUGGAGAUGAUGGGGAGUCUAUUUGCUAUUGUAAUAUAUCAAAUCUUUUGUUUAUGAUUAGAUAUUUUUAUGACUUAAACUUUUAUUAUGUGAUUUUAAAGUAUCCUAGCUUA
Molecule: RNA transcript, 883 nt
Organism: Arachis duranensis
Lineage: Eukaryota; Viridiplantae; Streptophyta; Magnoliopsida; Fabales; Fabaceae
Exons: 5
Source: RefSeq, a predicted model, not a curated record